AGGAUAAACGCUGGCGGCGUGCCUAACACAUGCAAGUCGAACGCGCUUUUUUCGCAAGAGGAGAGCGAGUGGCGGACGGGUGAGUAACACAUGGGUAUCUACCUUGGAGUGAGGGAUACCGGCGAGAAAUCGCCGACAAUACCGCAUACGCUUCUCUUCACCGGGAAGCAAAGUUGCGCAAGCGACGCUCUGAGAUGGGCCUGUGGCCGAUUAGCUAGUUGGUGGGGUAACGGCCUACCAAGGCGACGAUCGGUAGCUGGUCUGAGAGGACGAUCAGCCACACUGGGAUUGAGAACGGCCCAGACUCCUACGGGGGGCAGCAGUGAGGAAUUUUCCGCAAUGGACGCAAGUCUGACGGAGCAACGCCGCGUGCAGGAUGAAGGUUUUCGGAUCGUAAACUGCUUUUCUCGGGGACGAGCAAGGACGGUACCCGAGGAAGAAGCCCCGGCUAACUACGUGCCAGCAGCCGC
Molecule: ribosomal RNA, 470 nt
Filed under: uncultured bacterium
Lineage: Bacteria
Description: SSU rRNA
Rfam family: Bacterial small subunit ribosomal RNA
Source: RNAcentral